Molecule: long non-coding RNA, 263 nt
Filed under: Vigna radiata
Lineage: Eukaryota; Viridiplantae; Streptophyta; Magnoliopsida; Fabales; Fabaceae
Description: long non-coding RNA (VRAD_LNC010937)
Source: RNAcentral
UAAUAAUAAUAACAAUAACAAUAAUGGAUAGUAUAAUUUAAAAUAUAUUUUUAAAUUUAAAAAACAAAUUUUUGAUUAUACAUUUUGAAAUGCAAUAAAAUAAUGGGAAGACGAUUUAGGAAAAAUGGAAACUGGGGGUGUGGGUUUCAGGGAGUGAAGGAUAGGGUUAAAGGUUUCAACCUAACUUUAAUGCAGGAUAUUUUGGGAAUUAAGGGUUUUGUGAGGUGCGAAAAGAAAAAAGGAGUUGCAGGAAGAAAAAUUAU